CAGCAGCCGCGGUAAUACGGGGAGUGCAAGCGUUGUUCGGAAUUAUUGGGCGUAAAGCGCGCGUAGGCGGCUCGAACAGUCUGAAGUGAAAGCCCUCGGCCCAACCGAGGAAGUGCUUUGGAUACUACCGAGCUUGAGUCCCGGAGGGGCGGGUGGAAUUCCCAGUGUAGAGGUGAAAUUCGUAGAUAUUGGGAGGAACACCAGUGGCGAAGGCGGCCCGCUGGACGGUGACUGACGCUGAGGCGCGAAAGCGUGGGGAGCAA
RNAcentral lists this ribosomal RNA (263 nucleotides) under uncultured bacterium. RNAcentral's name for it is "partial 16S ribosomal RNA". It matches the Rfam family "Bacterial small subunit ribosomal RNA", at positions 509 to 771 of the family's 1533-position model. The record is from RNAcentral.